ACGUAGGGCGCAAGCGUUAUCCGGAAUUACUGGGCGUAAAGCGCGUGUAGGCGGUCUCUUAAGUCUGAUGUGAAAGCCCUGGGCUCAACCCAGGAAGUGCAUUGGAUACUGGGAGACUUGAAUACGGGAGAGGGUAGUGGAAUUCCUAGUGUAGGAGUGAAAUCCGUAGAUAUUAGGAGGAACACCGGUGGCGAAGGCGGCUACCUGGACCGAUAUUGACGCUGAGACGCGAAAGCGUGGGGAGCAAACAGGA
This 253-nucleotide ribosomal RNA is filed under the name uncultured prokaryote. RNAcentral's name for it is "partial 16S ribosomal RNA". It matches the Rfam family "Bacterial small subunit ribosomal RNA", at positions 525 to 777 of the family's 1533-position model. The record is from RNAcentral.